This 465-nucleotide ribosomal RNA is filed under the name Vreelandella stevensii. RNAcentral's name for it is "partial 16S ribosomal RNA". It matches the Rfam family "Bacterial small subunit ribosomal RNA", at positions 338 to 795 of the family's 1533-position model. Lineage: Bacteria; Pseudomonadati; Pseudomonadota; Gammaproteobacteria; Oceanospirillales; Halomonadaceae. The record is from RNAcentral.
CCUACGGGAGGCUGCAGUGGGGAAUAUUGGACAAUGGGGGGAACCCUGAUCCAGCCAUGCCGCGUGUGUGAAGAAGGCCCUCGGGUUGUAAAGCACUUUCAGUGAGGAAGAACGCCUGGUGGUUAAUACCCAUCAGGAAAGACAUCACUCACAGAAGAAGCACCGGCUAACUCCGUGCCAGCAGCCGCGGUAAUACGGAGGGUGCGAGCGUUAAUCGGAAUUACUGGGCGUAAAGCGCGCGUAGGUGGCUUGAUAAGCCGGUUGUGAAAGCCCCGGGCUCAACCUGGGAACGGCAUCCGGAACUGUCAAGCUAGAGUGCAGGAGAGGAAGGUAGAAUUCCCGGUGUAGCGGUGAAAUGCGUAGAGAUCGGAAGGAAUACCAGUGGCGAAGGCGGCCUUCUGGACUGACACUGACACUGAGGUGCGAAAGCGUGGGUAGCAAACAGGAUUAGAUACCCCAGUAGUC